GUUGCCCAAAAAAUGAACCUUAGUUCAACUUUAGACUAAUACUAUUAAGCCAACAACAUAACCCUUGGCCCCCCCCGGUCUAAAAGAUAGUCAAUGGGGGCACAGCUCCAUUGACAUAGGAAACAACCCUAAGUAGAGACAAACUAAUUGCUACCAAACAAAGUAGGCCCUUAAGCAGCCAACACCAGCCAAAUGCGUUAAAGCACACUCAUUCAUAAUCUCAGCAAUUAACAAAACCUCCUAUCAUGACAUCGGGCCACCCUAUCUUUAUAGAAAAACUAAUGUUAAAACUAGUAAUAAGAAUGUACUUCUCCUUGCACAAGUAAACACAUUAACAGGCCAAUAAAAGGCACACACAAACCAACAAGACUAACCACCCCAACAACAACUGUUAACCCAACCCAGGAGUGCACCCAGGAAGAUUAAAAGCUACAAAAGGAACUCGGCAACUAAAAAUCUCAACUGUUUACCAAAAACAUAGCCUUUAGCAAUUAAGAGUAUUAAAGGUGCCGCCUGCCCAGUGACAUGUUAAACGGCCGCGGGAUCCUCCACCGUGCAAAGGUAGCAUAAUCAUUUGUCCCCUAAAUAGGGACUAGUAUGAAUGGCCCAAUGAAGAUUUACCUGUCUCUUGUAGCUGAUCUAUGAAACUGAUCUUCCAGUACAAAAGCUGGAAUAAUAACACAAGACGAAAAGACCCUGUGGAACUUUUAAACCGCAACCAACACACAUGGCCACGCCGCUUUUAGUUGGGGCAACUUUGGAAAAAAACACAACUUCCAAUCAAGGAGCAAUUUAAAACACGCCUUAGGCCGACACGCCUAUUUUCCUCCCCAUGACCCAGUACAACUGAUUAAAGAAACAAGCUACCCCAGGGAUAACAGCGCCAUCCCCUCUUAGAGCCCAAAUCGACGAGCGGGGCUUACGACCUCGAUGUUGGAUCAGGGCCCCCCAGCAGUGCAGCAGCUGCUAACGGUUUGUUUGUUCAACAAUUAAUGCCCUACGUGAUCUGAGUUCAGACCGGA
This 1022-nucleotide ribosomal RNA is filed under the name Tupinambis teguixin (common tegu). Its description in RNAcentral is "partial 16S ribosomal RNA". It matches the Rfam family "Bacterial large subunit ribosomal RNA", at positions 852 to 2620 of the family's 2925-position model. Lineage: Eukaryota; Metazoa; Chordata; Lepidosauria; Squamata; Teiidae. The record is from RNAcentral.